AAGGCCUUCGGGUUGUAAAGCACUUUUGUCCGGAAAGAAAACCUCUGCCCUAAUAUGGCGGAGGGAUGACGGUACCGGAAGAAUAAGCACCGGCUAACUACGUGC
RNAcentral lists this ribosomal RNA (105 nucleotides) under uncultured bacterium. Its description in RNAcentral is "partial 16S ribosomal RNA". The record is from RNAcentral.